CGCCAAAUUGAUAUAGGAAAUGACUGUUUCAUAAUGUUAUUUAUAAAUUCCAAAAAUCCUAAAUCUUUACCAGAGUGUCGGUUGUUGGGCUCAGGUCCAUAUGUGAACUCUUUAGUUAUGGAAAAGAAAUAGCAAGCAAUGGAUGAAGGACAAAACAAUUCUAGAAAAUCUUACAUCCAUUCUAGAGACCCAACUACCAAAGCCCCCAGAUGUCCAGAAGAAUGAUCAGCAAGUUGAAUGUGGAAUUUGUUAUGCCCAAUGUCUUCCAAUUGAUCAUUUAAUGUCCUGUUUGGGAAUUGUC
RNAcentral lists this unclassified non-coding RNA (301 nucleotides) under Hevea brasiliensis (rubber tree). Lineage: Eukaryota; Viridiplantae; Streptophyta; Magnoliopsida; Malpighiales; Euphorbiaceae. The record is from RNAcentral.